This 253-nucleotide ribosomal RNA is filed under the name uncultured bacterium. RNAcentral describes it as "partial 16S ribosomal RNA". It matches the Rfam family "Bacterial small subunit ribosomal RNA", at positions 524 to 776 of the family's 1533-position model. The record is from RNAcentral.
UACGUAGGUGGCAAGCGUUGUCCGGAAUUACUGGGCGUAAAGCGCACGUAGGCGGCUUUCUAAGUCGGGGGUGAAAUCCUGGAGCUCAACUCCAGAACUGCCUUCGAUACUGGAGAGCUCGAGUCCGGGAGAGGUGAGUGGAACUGCGAGUGUAGAGGUGAAAUUCGUAGAUAUUCGCAAGAACACCAGUGGCGAAGGCGGCUCACUGGCCCGGUACUGACGCUGAGGUGCGAAAGCGUGGGGAGCAAACAGG